GGGGAAUAUUGGACAAUGGGGUGAACCCUGAUCCAGCCAUGCCGCGUGUGUGAAGAAGGCCUUAUGGUUGUAAAGCACUUUAAGCGACGAGGAGGCUCUUUUGGUUAAUACCCAAGAUGCGUGGACGUUACUCGCAGAAUAAGCACCGGCUAACUCUGUGCCAGCAGCCGCGGUAAUACAGAGGGUGCGAGCGUUAAUCGGAUUUACUGGGCGUAAAGCGUGCGUAGGCGGCUUUUUAAGUCGGAUGUGAAAUCCCCGGGCUUAACUUGGGAAUUGCAUUCGAGACUGGGGAGCUAGCGUAUGGGAGAGGAUGGUAGAAUUCCAGGUGUAGGGGUCAAAUGCGUAGAGAUCUGGAGGAAUACCGAUGGCGAAGGCAGCCAUCUGGCCUAAUACUGACGCUGAGGUACGAAAGCAUGGGGAGCAUACA
RNAcentral lists this ribosomal RNA (427 nucleotides) under uncultured Acinetobacter sp. RNAcentral's name for it is "bacterial SSU rRNA". It matches the Rfam family "Bacterial small subunit ribosomal RNA", at positions 356 to 774 of the family's 1533-position model. The record is from RNAcentral. Lineage: Bacteria; Pseudomonadati; Pseudomonadota; Gammaproteobacteria; Moraxellales; Moraxellaceae.